This 267-nucleotide unclassified non-coding RNA is filed under the name uncultured Calcarisporiella. RNAcentral describes it as "partial internal transcribed spacer 2". The record is from RNAcentral. Lineage: Eukaryota; Fungi; Ascomycota.
AAAACAACACAAAUCACAUUCAUUUUUUUGAAUGUGGAGUUGAGCCUUUUUCCCUCUUUCUUGUAGAGAGGGAUGGCUUGAAAUACAGAAGGCCGGUCUGGGUAAAACCAGAUGCCAGGACAGAUUUAAGAGUAAUAAUAGUUAAUGCGUUUUCGCGUUAUCCUUUUGCUCUGUGUCUGCCUUGGUGUGUCGGCCUGACACUUUCUUCUUGAAAAAGAGGGGAGGAAACACUGUAACUUGACGAAGGAGUAUCACUUCUUCCGACUU